UUAAGAAUCAAGGGUGGGUUGACUACAAAAUUUUUGUAGUUCGCUAUAACUACAGCUACUUCAAAAAUAUGUAGUCAGCUACAACUACUGCUACUUUUGAACAAAGGUAGUUCGCUACUGACUACAGCUACUGAUUAAAAAAUGUAGCGAACUAUUUCGCUAUUUCGCUACUCUAUAUUUUUUUGGUAUUUGGUAGGUAUUUGGAGCAUCCACUAGCUCAGGCUGUAGUAUAACCUAUAACACAUCGACUUACAGUAAACAAAAAGGGUCAAAGCAACAUUUUUGUAAGCACUACAGUGUUCAGGAGUGCCACUUUUCAUUGCGCUACAAUAAUCUUUACUGUAUAAAAUAAUCUUUUAAGCAAACCGUGUCUUAAUAUCAUUCUCAUUCUAUCAAGUUGCUAAAAAUUUUAAAAAGCAGCGAAUAGCGAUUCGCCGUUUGAAAGGUAGUCAACUACUUGGCUACUCUUAGGCAAAAUGUAGUUCGCUAUAACUACAACUACCGUUUUACAAAAGUAGUCAAAAACUACUGGCUACUUGAAAAUUGUAGUUCGCUACAGUAGCGAACUACAACUACUUCGCUACUAC
This is a non-coding RNA of Paramuricea clavata, 587 nucleotides long. The record is from the annotation of a GenBank genome assembly. NCBI's taxonomy places the organism in Eukaryota, Metazoa, Cnidaria, Anthozoa, Malacalcyonacea, Plexauridae.